AGCUCGUGUUGUGAAAUGUUGGGUUAAGUCCCGCAACGAGCGCAACCCUUAUCCUUUGUUGCCAGCGGUCCGGCCGGGAACUCAAAGGAGACUGCCAGUGAUAAACUGGAGGAAGGUGGGGAUGACGUCAAGUCAUCAUGGCCCUUACGGCCAGGGCUACACACGUGCUACAAUGGCGCAUACAAAGAGAAGCGACCUCGCGAGAGCAAGCGGACCUCAUAAAGUGCGUCGUAGUCCGGAUUGGAGUCUGCAACUCGACUCCAUGAAGUCGGAAUCGCUAGUAAUCGUGGAUCAGAAUGCCACGGUGAAUACGUUCCCGGGCCUUGUACACACCGCCCGUCACACCAUGGGAGUGGGUUGCAAAAGAAGUAGGUAGCUUAACCUUCGGGAGGGCGCUUACCACUUUGUGAUUCAUGACUGGGGUGAAGUCGUAACAAGGUAACCGUAGGGGAACCUGCGGUUGGAUCACCUC
RNAcentral lists this ribosomal RNA (472 nucleotides) under uncultured bacterium. Its description in RNAcentral is "bacterial SSU rRNA". It matches the Rfam family "Bacterial small subunit ribosomal RNA", at positions 1057 to 1529 of the family's 1533-position model. The record is from RNAcentral.